AAGACUAUAUUUUCAAGAAUCAUUUCUAUAGUUCAUUACUUGGAAAUGUGUUUCGAAAGUGUUUAUCUCCCAACCCACGAUGAUGAGCUGUGAUGCUUUUUUCUGAGAAUGAAUUAAAGACAGAGCCGUGGUUUAGGAUGCAAACUCUGUCAUUGAUGAGUGUUCUCUAUUGCUUUUGGCAAUAUUGAGGAAAGGGGUUCUGAUUUUGGU
RNAcentral lists this small nucleolar RNA (210 nucleotides) under Sinocyclocheilus rhinocerous. RNAcentral describes it as "Small nucleolar RNA U3 (ENSSRHG00000031934.1)". It matches the Rfam family "Small nucleolar RNA U3". Rfam says of the family: Small nucleolar RNAs (snoRNAs) are involved in the processing and modification of rRNA in the nucleolus. Lineage: Eukaryota; Metazoa; Chordata; Actinopteri; Cypriniformes; Cyprinidae. The record is from Rfam by way of RNAcentral.